RNAcentral lists this long non-coding RNA (1053 nucleotides) under Equus caballus (horse). RNAcentral's name for it is "lncRNA (ENSECAG00000058874.1)". The record is from RNAcentral. Lineage: Eukaryota; Metazoa; Chordata; Mammalia; Perissodactyla; Equidae.
GGACGCGGGAGCUCUGAUGAGUCAGUGUCCCUGCAGCGGUCGGACCUGUCCCUGCCCCGAGGAACAGGGACUUUUAAGGACAUCACUCUUGACAUCUCAGAAAGCCCUAAAAGGCAGUGGCAAAAGAGAAUUUGCCUUCUCGUCAGGAUGAAAGCUUGCCUUUACACUGGGCAAUGCAUCACUCAAAAACCAACCGCAAAAAUGGUGGGGGUUGUGAGGUGCACAGAACAAAGAGACAAAGCAGGUCCCAGGCGUCGUCUGCAGUGGUGAAAAGAAAAAGCUUCUGGAUGGAGCAGACUCUCACCUCAGUGAGCUUCAGCUCCUGGUUGAAGACCUAUCGGUCAUGAAUGUCCCACGUGAUGAGUCCCAUCCCUGGACCAGGAGGAGAGAAGACAUUUUCUCACCAGAGACGGGGAACUUGGGGCUGAGAAUCUGUACAAGCAAACCUUGUUAAACUAAUGCUUAUCUUUCUAGUCAUUUCUUCACCACUUACUACCCUUCACCCUUACUACCCAAACCCCUUUGUCCUGUCAAUUCUUCACAUAUUUAUUGUUUCUUUGUCUAAAAUAUAUAAAAGCUUCCUGCUCUGCUCACUUCUUUGGGUCUCCAUCCUCUUGUGCGGGCUCCCAUGUUGUAAAAUGUCAAUAACAUUUGUAUGUUUUUCUCCUGUUAGCCUGUAUUCUUCAGGUUCAUUUUUAGACCGAGCCAGGAAUGCUAAGAGGAUCGGGGACAGCUUUGUCUUCUUCUGCACUUGUCUUACUUCUGGAGGGCUCCACCUUAGGGAGGGCUCAUUCUCUUUCUCAACUUCAACUUGAAAAGACUUAGGGAAGAAUUCUGAGUGGCCUUGCUUGGGUUAGCUGACCACCUCUGACUCAAUCAACCACGGUCAAGGGGCAGGGUCCUUGUUAAGAAUAAUGUUGUCUAGAUGUGUGUGGCUUUCUGAUUAGCCAAAGUACUAACUUAUUUCUGGUUACCUUGAUGCCAACUAACACUGAGUUCCUCAAACCCCUCAAAGCUUUACAUCUUUUCCACGUGACCCGCCACCAGGUUAAC